This 869-nucleotide ribosomal RNA is filed under the name Klebsiella pneumoniae. RNAcentral describes it as "bacterial SSU rRNA". It matches the Rfam family "Bacterial small subunit ribosomal RNA", at positions 1 to 861 of the family's 1533-position model. The record is from RNAcentral. Lineage: Bacteria; Pseudomonadati; Pseudomonadota; Gammaproteobacteria; Enterobacterales; Enterobacteriaceae.
AAAUUGAAGAGUUUGAUCAUGGCUCAGAUUGAACGCUGGCGGCAGGCCUAACACAUGCAAGUCGAGCGGUAGCACAGAGAGCUUGCUCUCGGGUGACGAGCGGCGGACGGGUGAGUAAUGUCUGGGAAACUGCCUGAUGGAGGGGGAUAACUACUGGAAACGGUAGCUAAUACCGCAUAACGUCGCAAGACCAAAGUGGGGGACCUUCGGGCCUCAUGCCAUCAGAUGUGCCCAGAUGGGAUUAGCUAGUAGGUGGGGUAACGGCUCACCUAGGCGACGAUCCCUAGCUGGUCUGAGAGGAUGACCAGCCACACUGGAACUGAGACACGGUCCAGACUCCUACGGGAGGCAGCAGUGGGGAAUAUUGCACAAUGGGCGCAAGCCUGAUGCAGCCAUGCCGCGUGUGUGAAGAAGGCCUUCGGGUUGUAAAGCACUUUCAGCGGGGAGGAAGGCGUUAAGGUUAAUAACCUUGGCGAUUGACGUUACCCGCAGAAGAAGCACCGGCUAACUCCGUGCCAGCAGCCGCGGUAAUACGGAGGGUGCAAGCGUUAAUCGGAAUUACUGGGCGUAAAGCGCACGCAGGCGGUCUGUCAAGUCGGAUGUGAAAUCCCCGGGCUCAACCUGGGAACUGCAUUCGAAACUGGCAGGCUAGAGUCUUGUAGAGGGGGGUAGAAUUCCAGGUGUAGCGGUGAAAUGCGUAGAGAUCUGGAGGAAUACCGGUGGCGAAGGCGGCCCCCUGGACAAAGACUGACGCUCAGGUGCGAAAGCGUGGGGAGCAAACAGGAUUAGAUACCCUGGUAGUCCACGCCGUAAACGAUGUCGAUUUGGAGGUUGUGCCCUUGAGGCGUGGCUUCCGGAGCUAACGCGUU